Molecule: ribosomal RNA, 500 nt
Filed under: uncultured bacterium
Lineage: Bacteria
Description: bacterial SSU rRNA
Rfam family: Bacterial small subunit ribosomal RNA
Source: RNAcentral
GAUGAACGCUAGCGGCAGGCUUAAUACAUGCAAGUCGAGGGGCAACACGGUUAGCAAUAACUGGUGGCGACCGGCGCACGGGUGCGUAACACGUAUACAAUCUACCUUAAACAGGGGGAUAGCCUUUCGAAAGAGAGAUUAAUACCCCGUAAUAAAUUGAACGGCAUCGUUUGAUUUUGAAAGCUCCGGCGGUUUGAGAUGAGUAUGCGUCUGAUUAGCUAGUUGGUGAGGUAACGGCUCACCAAGGCGACGAUCAGUAGGGGAUCUGAGAGGACUAACCCCCACACUGGUACUGAGACACGGACCAGACUCCUACGGGAGGCAGCAGUAAGGAAUAUUGGUCAAUGGAGGCAACUCUGAACCAGCCAUGCCGCGUGCAGGAUGACGGCCCUAUGGGUUGUAAACUGCUUUUAUACAAGAGAAAACCCUGGUACGUGUACCAGGUUGAUAGUAUUGUAAGAAUAAGCAUCGGCUAACUUCGUGCCAGCAGCCGCGGUAAU